This 446-nucleotide ribosomal RNA is filed under the name uncultured bacterium. RNAcentral's name for it is "bacterial SSU rRNA". It matches the Rfam family "Bacterial small subunit ribosomal RNA", at positions 355 to 796 of the family's 1533-position model. The record is from RNAcentral.
UCGAGGAUCUUCGGCAAUGGGCGCAAGCCUGACCGAGCGACGCCGCGUGUGGGAUGAAGGCCUUCGGGUUGUAAACCACUGUCAGAGGGGAUGAAAUAUUAGGGGGUACUCCCCCUAGUUUGACAUAGCCUCAGAGGAAGGACGGGCUAAGUUCGUGCCAGCAGCCGCGGUAAGACGAACCGUCCAAACGUUAUUCGGAAUCACUGGGCUUAAAGGGUGCGUAGGCGGCGCGGAAAGUUGGGUGUGAAAUCCCUCGGCUCAACCGAGGAACUGCGCCCAAAACUGCCGUGCUCGAGGGAGAUAGAGGUGAGCGGAACUUAGGGUGGAGCGGUGAAAUGCGUUGAUAUCCUAAGGAACACCCGUGGCGAAAGCGGCUCACUGGGUCUCUUCUGACGCUGAGGCACGAAAGCUAGGGUAGCGAACGGGAUUAGAUACCCGGGUAGUCC